UCUACGGGAGGCAGCAGUGGGGAAUAUUGCACAAUGGGGGAAACCCUGAUGCAGCAACGCCGCGUGGGUGAAGGAGCGUUUCGGCGCGUAAAGCCCUGUCAGCGGGGAAGAAGAAAGACGGUACCCGACCAAGAAGCCCCGGCUAACUACGUGCCAGCAGCCGCGGUAAUACGUAGGGGGCGAGCGUUAUCCGGAAUUACUGGGUGUAAAGGGAGCGUAGACGGCGAGGUAAGCCUGAAGUGGAAGCCCGCGGCCCAACCGCGGAACUGCUUUGGGAACUGUUGAUCUUGAGUACUGGAGAGGCAGACGGAAUUCCUAGUGUAGCGGUGAAAUGCGUAGAUAUUAGGAGGAACACCAGUGGCGAAGGCGGUCUGCUGGACAGCAACUGACGGUGAGGCGCGAAAGCGUGGGGAGCAAACAGGAUUAGAUACCCUAGUAGUC
Molecule: ribosomal RNA, 441 nt
Filed under: uncultured bacterium
Lineage: Bacteria
Description: partial 16S ribosomal RNA
Rfam family: Bacterial small subunit ribosomal RNA
Source: RNAcentral